GGGACAGCGAGGAUGGUUAGCAGCCUAAGCUAGCCAGGAAAUAAAUCCCAGGAAAUGGCAGUCAGCUCUAAUUAGGUGAAAAGUCACUCAACUAACAGAAGGGAAGCACAUGUUGUAGAUUAUCCCGAAGGGAAAAUCCAGGAUUCGUGAGUGGAAAUUACAGUGUGGCUGUGGAGGACAGUUCUCCACUGAAUGCUAAGAAAGAACAUACAUUCGCUGCAGUUUCAAUGGAUUAAAAAAUUAACCAGAGCCGGCCCUGAGAAAAUUAAAGUAUUACAAAGUCAAGCCACUUCGCAAGGCACACAACCUCCCUUGUCAGAGCGGUGCUGAAAGAAUAACAGGUUUGCCUUAAUCAGCAACAACAAAAAGCUAUCCUGAUUCAUUUUUCCAUAUUAAAUCUGAAUACCACCUCAGAGACGUUUUCCUGUCUCUUCAUCUCCAGAGAACCCAAGGCAUUUACAGUCUCAUUAUUUUACGUAACACCCAGUAAGUGGGCACCAAAGAUCAUUAGCGUCCUUUGAUUUCGAAGAAAGAACUACAGAGAGAUUAAACAAGUCGCCCAAGGUUGCUCGGUGAGUUGAGGUGUUUGGAUUUUCCAUUUAGCUCUUGUUUUAAGGGCUUAGUACAAAGUGACUGAAGGUGAUUAAAUUUACCAAAAGUCCCAAAUCUUAAGGACCUCAUUCCUAUUUCUUACCACCAAUGACAUUUUCAUCACACAAGCAUGAACCAGCCUCCGCGGUCAGUGCAGGGCCUGCAAGGAGCCUCCUGCUCUACCUGACUUGGCUUUGGGCUCACUGUUUCCCGACUCCUUUACCCAGGGGAGCUGAUUCCGCCUGGCUGCCUCUGGGAAAUUUUUCACCCCUCGAUUAGCUAUUGCACAGUUGGUUUAACUCAGACCAGACAGUAGACAAAAUAGUAGUGGUUUAAAAAGUGUCUCCCCCACUCUGAUGACAAAGGAGGCAUGAUUAACGAAGUUCCCUUUGUCUCCAAGCUCCAUUCUGAGAGAGAGAGAAAGGGCUCUGCUCCCCUUUUUUGAUUUCUGAGUCUUUUCCUACUUGUCCAUCACCCACACAAUCUGUUCACAGCUCAAACAGACAAUCCAGCCAGUCUGUGGAGAGUUCCUAAAACAUUUAUGUGAAAGCAGGCAGGACGGGCAAGACCUCAUCUCAACAAAGGACGAUGGGAUAUUGGGCAGAAGAGUUCACAAAGGGAAAUACAGCAGAGGUCCUAAGCUGAAUGGAUUUGCCCACAAUGGCUAGCACAAUGCCGGUCCUUAUGGGGACUUGUCAGCCUUCUGGUCAAUUUCCAGCCACCUCCAGGUUUGGGCCCCUAAACUCCAUUGCUUUUUUAAAGAAAAUCAACAAGUUAACCAAGUCCCAAUCAGUGCUUUAAGGAUCCUUUAGUUUCUCUAGAACUUUAAAUUCAAAACCAGUGAGUUAGACAAAGAGUCUAGUUCACAUUCAACCAGCUCAGGGAAUGGAGAUAAUGCUACACGGCACUCAGCACAUGGCCUGCUGCACACUGAGUGCUCAGAGAAUAUUACCCAAUAUUUUAUCAUGCUCUGUGUUGUUCUACUAAUAGUUUUAUGCAUGUCCUGACUGCUCACCUAAAAGAGUUUACUUUAUCUGUAUUUGGUGCAUUACACAGAUAGGUGCUUCAUAUACAUUAUCUUCACCAAGGAUAUAAAUCUAUAGGCUCCAGACAGUAAAGGCAAUCUCAGGUCUCAGUGGACAAGGGGUAGAUUCUUUGACUGAUAGCUCAGUAAUUUCAUACCCAGUGCUUUCUUCUCAAAACACCAUCGAUGAGCAGAUUAGCAAGGCCCGGGGCUCUUUGUAGUCUCCAGAAUCUAGGCAAGUGAUAAGGUGUACCUAAGCUUCAUUUAAAAUAAGUUUCUUAUCUGUAGGUGAUAAAAGACACUGAGGAUAUGCUUUAGACCCCUUAACAAAGGAGACAAGAAGUGAGUAAAAAGCUGCCCUUUGACAUGCCACUGGAUUUAUUUGCCAUGGGAAAGCGUCACAGGUCCACUUAGCAAAUAUGGUAAAGGCAGGAAGGACUGGAUAAUAUGUCUAAGGAGGCAAAUGCUACUACAGAGUUCUUUGUACUCAUUGCUCAUAGCUUUUUCUGUUAACUGAUUAUUCUGUUAGCAGCCUGGCUGAGGGGAAUCUUGUCCUAGAUCACGCAUAACAAUUUGUGCCUCAAAUGAUCACCCCAUACUUUAAUAAAGGUCCAUGUCACAUCCUAAUUAUUCAAAAACAUCUAUCUGAUCUAGAACACUUUUAGAACUCUUAGUCUAUUGCACUUAACUUAGCCCUUAACAACAACGGUCUUUUUUGAUUCAUUUUGUCUUUCUAAACCAAUUGAAGCUGCCUGCGCUGCUGUAGCCCAUGGCAAGCCGGGUUCAGGACCAGCAUUGACAUGUGUAGGCUUGCGACACAGGCUCCUGGACGUCCUAAAGAAACCUCCUAAGAGUCAUCAUGGCAUUGAAUACCCAGGCCCGCAGAAGCACAUGUUGCAGUGAGCUUUACUUCAAAGCCAGUAGCCUGGCCGAGUUCCAAGAAUUGUCACAAACGCUCCGCACCAGACGCUUGGUCCUCAGCAGUGGGCCCUGCACACACACACAAGUGUGCGCACACACAUCCCACCUCAGAUACUGCUCUAAUUCAACAGC
Molecule: non-coding RNA, 2668 nt
Organism: Heterocephalus glaber (naked mole-rat)
Lineage: Eukaryota; Metazoa; Chordata; Mammalia; Rodentia; Bathyergidae
Source: RefSeq, a predicted model, not a curated record